GUAAUGCUUAGUCUGUGACCUCUGCGCACGUGUGUGCCUUUUCUGUCUUCAGCGUAGGGGCUGAACAAUAGGUUUUUUCAGCCUGAAAGGAACUGAAAAUGUAUUUGCAUUCUGCUAUCUCCUCUUCUGGCUCCAGUUUCAUUCUCUUAUUUUUGUUACCAGAUUUGAGUUCUUGGGUAUAAAAGGGGAGCGUUUUACCAAAUUUCUUUGAUAUCGCUUCUCUCCUCCGUUCCCAGGAGAGCUGUGAGGCUUUCAGCUGCGUGCCAGGAAGCCGGUUCCCUGUUGUCGGUGGAGCAGACACCUGGAAAUCCUGAUCUCAUGAAUUCCUGCUAGCACUGCGGGGCUGGGGAGCGGGGCUGUCCGUGCCUCGAGCCCACCGCGCUCUCCCUGCAAAAACCCAGCCCCUGCAGGCUCGAGGUCCGUGCAGCCCAGUCCUUCCUCUGAGCAUGCCCACUGCUAGGCAUUGCAGGAGAAGGACUGUACGUAGUUUACAUUCCCAUCUGAUACGUGAAGAAUAUGUUUUUUUGUCAAGGGCUCCUAAAGCUAUUAAACCUUACAGGUACAUGAAGAUGAGAGAGAGAAAAUCUUACUCCUAGCAGUGCCAUACAUACGGAGGAAAAAAGGUGACGUACAUUUAAUAUGCACUAGAAAUUGUUUAUCUUGUACUGUUUUGCUAUCCCUUUAAGAUAUGCUGAUUUGAACUGGUUGUCAAUGCAACAUCACUUAGUCGGUCUUCAUCUGGACCUUAGAGCACAACAAAAUUAUUGGUACAUAAA
This 776-nucleotide long non-coding RNA is filed under the name Struthio camelus australis. RNAcentral describes it as "lncRNA (ENSSCUG00000014933.1)". The record is from RNAcentral. Lineage: Eukaryota; Metazoa; Chordata; Aves; Struthioniformes; Struthionidae.